GACGAACGCUGGCGGCGUGCUUAACACAUGCAAGUCGAACGGAAAGGCCCUGCUUUUGUGGGGUGCUCGAGUGGCGAACGGGUGAGUAACACGUGAGUAACCUGCCCUUGACUUUGGGAUAACUUCAGGAAACUGGGGCUAAUACCGGAUAGGAGCUCCUGCUGCAUGGUGGGGGUUGGAAAGUUUCGGCGGUUGGGGAUGGACUCGCGGCUUAUCAGCUUGUUGGUGGGGUAGUGGCUUACCAAGGCUUUGACGGGUAGCCGGCCUGAGAGGGUGACCGGACACAUUGGGACUGAGAUACGGCCCAGACUCCUACGGGAGGCAGCAGUGGGGAAUAUUGCACAAUGGGCGGAAGCCUGAUGCAGCAACGCCGCGUGCGGGAUGACGGCCUUCGGGUUGUAGACCGCUUUCGCCUGUGACGAAGCGUGAGUGACGGUAAUGGGUAAAGAAGCACCGGCUAACUACGUG
Molecule: ribosomal RNA, 468 nt
Filed under: uncultured bacterium
Lineage: Bacteria
Description: partial 16S ribosomal RNA
Rfam family: Bacterial small subunit ribosomal RNA
Source: RNAcentral